GCCUAAUACAUGCAAGUCGAGCGAACGGACGAGAAGCUUGCUUCUCUGAUGUUAGCGGCGGACGGGUGAGUAACACGUGGAUAACCUACCUAUAAGACUGGGAUAACUUCGGGAAACCGGAGCUAAUACCGGAUAAUAUUUUGAACCGCAUGGUUCAAAAGUGAAAGACGGUCUUGCUGUCACUUAUAGAUGGAUCCGCGCUGCAUUAGCUAGUUGGUAAGGUAACGGCUUACCAAGGCAACGAUGCAUAGCCGACCUGAGAGGGUGAUCGGCCACACUGGAACUGAGACACGGUCCAGACUCCUACGGGAGGCAGCAGUAGGGAAUCUUCCGCAAUGGGCGAAAGCCUGACGGAGCAACGCCGCGUGAGUGAUGAAGGUCUUCGGAUCGUAAAACUCUGUUAUUAGGGAAGAACAUAUGUGUAAGUAACUGUGCACAUCUUGACGGUACCUAAUCAGAAAGCCACGGCUAACUACGUGCCAGCAGCCGCGGUAAUACGUAGGUGGCAAGCGUUAUCCGGAAUUAUUGGGCGUAAAGCGCGCGUAGGCGGUUUUUUAAGUCUGAUGUGAAAGCCCACGGCUCAACCGUGGAGGGUCAUUGGAAACUGGAAAACUUGAGUGCAGAAGAGGAAAGUGGAAUUCCAUGUGUAGCGGUGAAAUGCGCAGAGAUAUGGAGGAACACCAGUGGCGAAGGCGACUUUCUGGUCUGUAACUGACGCUGAUGUGCGAAAGCGUGGGGAUCAAACAGGAUUAGAUACCCUGGUAGUCCACGCCGUAAACGAUGAGUGCUAAGUGUUAGGGGGUUUCCGCCCCUUAGUGCUGCAGCUAACGCAUUAAGCACUCCGCCUGGGGAGUACGACCGCAAGGUUGAAACUCAAAGGAAUUGACGGGGACCCGCACAAGCGGUGGAGCAUGUGGUUUAAUUCGAAGCAACGCGAAGAACCUUACCAAAUCUUGACAUCCUUUGACAACUCUAGAGAUAGAGCUUUCCCCUUCGGGGGACAAAGUGACAGGUGGUGCAUGGUUGUCGUCAGCUCGUGUCGUGAGAUGUUGGGUUAAGUCCCGCAACGAGCGCAACCCUUAAGCUUAGUUGCCAUCAUUAAGUUGGGCACUCUAAGUUGACUGCCGGUGACAAACCGGAGGAAGGUGGGGAUGACGUCAAAUCAUCAUGCCCCUUAUGAUUUGGGCUACACACGUGCUACAAUGGACAAUACAAAGGGCAGCGAAACCGCGAGGUCAAGCAAAUCCCAUAAAGUUGUUCUCAGUUCGGAUUGUAGUCUGCAACUCGACUACAUGAAGCUGGAAUCGCUAGUAAUCGUAGAUCAGCAUGCUACGGUGAAUACGUUCCCGGGUCUUGUACACACCGCCCGUCACACCACGAGAGUUUGUAACACCCGAAGCCGGUGGAGUAACCUUUUAGGAGCUAGCCGUCGAAGGU
Molecule: ribosomal RNA, 1437 nt
Filed under: Staphylococcus sp. SR24-1
Lineage: Bacteria; Bacillati; Bacillota; Bacilli; Caryophanales; Staphylococcaceae
Description: bacterial SSU rRNA
Rfam family: Bacterial small subunit ribosomal RNA
Source: RNAcentral